CGGAUCCGCUGAGAGCCGGGAGUUUAGAAAGAGAACGGCGCACAGGUGCUGCAUGUUUGUCGUCAGCUCGUGUCGUGAGAUGUUGGGUUAAGUCCCGCAACGAGCGCAACCCUUGUCCUUAGUUGCUACGCAAGAGCACUCUAAGGAGACUGCCGGUGACAAACCGGAGGAAGGUGGGGAUGACGUCAAGUCCUCAUGGCCCUUAUGGGUAGGGCUUCACACGUCAUACAAUGGUCGGAACAGAGGGUUGCCAACCCGCGAGGGGGAGCUAAUCCCAGAAAACCGAUCGUAGUCCGGAUUGCACUCUGCAACUCGAGUGCAUGAAGCUGGAAUCGCUAGUAAUCGCGGAUCAGCAUGCCGCGGUGAAUACGUUC
This 374-nucleotide ribosomal RNA is filed under the name Burkholderia cepacia. RNAcentral describes it as "bacterial SSU rRNA". It matches the Rfam family "Bacterial small subunit ribosomal RNA", at positions 991 to 1373 of the family's 1533-position model. Lineage: Bacteria; Pseudomonadati; Pseudomonadota; Betaproteobacteria; Burkholderiales; Burkholderiaceae. The record is from RNAcentral.